This 293-nucleotide long non-coding RNA is filed under the name Fukomys damarensis (Damara mole-rat). RNAcentral describes it as "lncRNA (ENSFDAG00000025276.1)". Lineage: Eukaryota; Metazoa; Chordata; Mammalia; Rodentia; Bathyergidae. The record is from RNAcentral.
GUUAUUUUUUAAAGUUGGCAGAGGUGAGAAAACUAUGUUUUGUUUGACAGAAUGAGUAAGGGACUACUUCAGUUGCAGAAAGAUGGUCUCAAAGGCAAAAACGUUAGCCGAAGAGGAGCUGGCGUGCUGGGCCUGUAAGCAGCGAACAGGAGGCAAACAGGAAGUUGCUGAUCGUGCCUCCUGGGCCUGAGUGGCAGACAGACUGACAUGGCAGACUAUUUCUCUAUGAGAGUGAAGGAAAGAGCCCGAUGUCUUCCUUCCAAGGACGAAUAUGCCAACAACUUGCUAGGGCC